AUAAUUAAUCAUUUCAAUGUAUAGAUAACACUCUAUUGAAUGGAUGUACCUUGUUUUACCACUUCCUUCUUGUUGGAUAUUAAGGUUGUUUCUAUAAUAUUGUUAAGAUAACGCUACAGCAUAUAACUUCACACAAAACCUCUUUCCCUUUCUCUUGGAUUCUUUCUUUAGUCAUCAACUUAAAAAAGCAGAAUUAGGCCAGGCAGGGUGGCUCACACCUGUAAUUUCAGCACUUUGGGAGGCUGGUCAGGAGUUCAAGACCAGCCUGACCAACAUGAUGAAACCCUGUCUCUACUAAAAAUACAAAAAUUAGCUGGGUGUGGUGGUGUGUGCCUGUAAUCUCAGCUACUUGGCAGGCUGAGGCAGGAAAACUGCUUGGACCGGGAGGCAGAGACUGCAGUGAGCUGAGAUUACCACACUGCACUCCAGCCUGGGUGACAAGAGUGAAACUGUCUCAAAAAUAAUAAUAAAUAAAAAGCAAAAUUAUAUUUAUAAUUGCUAACUUGAUUAUUUUAUUCUCAUAAAACAUUAGCUCCUUGGUGUAGAAGGCCUUCAAAGAAUAAAGAUGUAGCAUUUGGAGGAGGUUACGAAGCAUAGCAACUGAGAGUGGAUGGAGUCUUCUCCAUAAGAGAACCAUUUAUUUUCUCAAAAAACAUUAACUUAGUAUUUUGCAUGUUACAGGUGCUCUAUUAGGCCCUGAGGGUAGAACAGUGACCAAAAAGACACAGUUCUUGUCCUCUUAGAGUUUGAAUCUAGUAUGGGAGUCAUUUUAAUCAAAUAAUUGGACAAAUAAAUAAUAAAUCACACUUCUAUUAAUAGCCACAACAAUAAGAGGUGCAUGUGCCAUGAAAGUUUAACUAUGGGAGUGACCAAGGGAAGAGGCUAGAGGGAGUAAUAUUUGAAAUGAGUUUUCAAGGAUGAGCAGGAGUUAAAGUAGGGUGCUAGGUGUUUUCUAGGCAGUGGGGAGAGCAUCUGAGCUAGCCCUGUGGUAGGAGGGGAAAGGCUCAUUGCAGACAAGAAAACCAUGCUAUGGUAGGUGGGGCACAGACAUUGAGGCAUCUUUUUUCUAUGACAGGAAAGAACAUUGCUCUAGAAUAUUUACUCUAAAUGUGUAUGGGAGAAUUGAAUCAAUGUCUUUAUUGUUUUUACUCUGCGAACUUCUCAGCUACUAUAAAAACUGGUUCUAAUAAAAAGGCCUUCAAAGUUGCUUUGUGGGCUAUUUAUGCUUAUUAGAAUAUUCCAUUUAUAAUAAGAAAAAGCUGCCAUAUUAUUAUAUAGCUCUUUUUUAAAAGGAAAUUCACAUCUGUAACUUUAUGUCAGUAAAAGACAUUUCAUUGUCAAGAUGAUCUCUGAGUGAAUAUAAACAUUCUGGUUGACAUUAAAGUUGGCCAAUUCUCUGUGGAGACUAUAUAUUGCAUACGAAAGGAAGUCAAAUUGCGUAAGCAUCUCUUAUUCUCAGAGUUCUCCAAUCUAAUAACUUCUUCACUGGGAUAUCAACUUUCUAAAUGUCAGGACAAAUUACAGCUAUUUAUGACAGUCUUUCUUGAGCUGUUAAAGACUCAAAAUGCCUGCCCUUACCCUCUGGCAUGGAGAUAGUGAUGAGUGGAGUUUGCAGUGCUUUGGGUCCAUAUAGAUGCUCACAUGUGAUAAAUGGGUGUGUUACGGCCACCUCACAUUUAUAUAGCACUUUAAAUUUUCUAAAGCAUCUUCAUGUUUACUUACUGUAUUAAAUGUCCAGUUUUAGAACCGGAAUGGACUUUAAGGGUCAUUUCAUUUAAAUGGGGUUUUUAAUGAAAAAAGCAUGUGUGUCAUGUAAUCUAAGACUAUUUUCUAACUGCGACUUGUGAGUUAGUUGGUUACAAAAUCAGUUUAGGGGAUUGUGACUAGGAUUUCAAAAGUAUAAUAUAUUGAAAUGCAGUAUGAAUAAUGUUUUCUGAAACUUUUGUUUCAGUAGCAUUUAUGUUUGUAAGCAUAAGCAUGUGUUUAUUUGGUCAUGCUUGAAAUUUAAAUACCAUGAUAAAGUGAAUAAGUAGUGGUAUUACUGGUUUUUAAAAAGCAAUGGGUUUGCGAGCUGUGUUCAAACUGUAGCCUUGUAACCCACUAGCUAAGUGACUGUUGGAAAGUCAAAUAAAUUCUCUGCAACACAGUCUCCUCAUUCUAAUACCAAUUGUGUCAAUCUGGCUCAAGUUAUAACAGAGGGCAUAUAUGAAAAAGGUUCCCAGAAGAUGUUUAAUCGAUAUUAAUAGUUUUUGAAAUCCAACACAUAUUCACUUAUAAACUGAGAGACUUACAAAUGAAUGGCCAGGUAUUAUUGACUUAAUUUUACAAAUGAAGAAACGGAAGCCAAUGGGGGCAAAUGGCUAAUUCAAGACCACUUAACAAGAAUGAAUCACAAUCAAAUCCAGCUUUCCUGGCUCUUGGUCUUUCGUACUUACCUCCAUUCUUGUCCCUUACCUUUGGAAUUUCUUUUCCUGCCUCAGGUUCUUUAUUCCUUUUUAUAUUAAGCAGAAAAUAAAUAACAACCCUCUUGUGUUUUAUUAACCUAAACCUCUGACCUCAGAGUACCAUGCUUACGUAUUACAGAGGACGUCGCUAACCAUAAACUAUUGACUUACAUCAACAGAGCAUGCAAUAUUGAAGAAAGAAACAAUGGGAUGUCAGAAACUUUUAUUUGCAGUAUUUUUAAUUUCAGUGAUUAACUGUGAUUUUUAAAUAAGACAUUUAAUCUUUCUGUGUCUUACCAGAAAAGUUGGAUUGAACUAGGCUAUAGCUGAGAACUUUUUUGCUCAAAAUAUUUUGAGAAUAUAAGUAUUCAUUACUUACCAGAAGCGAUUAUUAAUGGUGAAAUGCAUAAGGUGAUCAGUAGUUCUUGUUUACUAAGCCACUCUAUACAUUGUUCUAGAGGCUUUCUAUUAAAAUAUUUCAGUCUCAGGUUUGUAGAGACCUCCCAUGGGAAUUAAUGUAUUCAUUUGCAUUUAUAUGUUUGUUAAUUUCAAGAG
RNAcentral lists this long non-coding RNA (2999 nucleotides) under Homo sapiens (human). RNAcentral's name for it is "HSALNT0220505". The record is from RNAcentral. Lineage: Eukaryota; Metazoa; Chordata; Mammalia; Primates; Hominidae.